Molecule: non-coding RNA, 461 nt
Organism: Paramuricea clavata
Lineage: Eukaryota; Metazoa; Cnidaria; Anthozoa; Malacalcyonacea; Plexauridae
Source: the annotation of a GenBank genome assembly
CAGAGGUGAAAGUUUCAGAAAAGCAAUUAUUACUGACAGCAAUAAAAUUGCUUAGCACUCAUUCUUGAGCUGAAAUUCAGACCGUGUUGUUGAGCCGGCUGCAUUGUAGAUCUUAAGCUCUCUAUUACACCACUAUUUCGACUUGUAUUAAUUUGGAAAAUUUCAGUUUCAUGGUCCCUCAAUUACUUGAUUAAGUUUCAUGUUGCCACUGAUCACGGAAAGUCUAUAAUUUUUAAAGCAUAUGAUAUAAGCAUUUUAUGAGCAAACCAGAAAAUGACAAAGUUUUUGUCAAACAUAAAAAAAUGAAAAGUUUGUCAGUAUUUGGCUUUGUUGCAUCAGUUAAACAUUGAGAAGAUUGAGAUGGCUUUUAUUACAAACCAAACUGGUUGCUUGCAAAUAAUGCACGCACUUUAUUAGUUUUAAUUCAGUUUUCUUUUAGUCAUCUAGCUUUCAAUUUUCGG